Molecule: non-coding RNA, 403 nt
Organism: Salmo salar (Atlantic salmon)
Lineage: Eukaryota; Metazoa; Chordata; Actinopteri; Salmoniformes; Salmonidae
Source: RefSeq, a predicted model, not a curated record
AAUUUAAAAGGAUUUGUGUUAGCAGUCUUUUCGUCUUAAAUUUCCCCUGAGUCAUGGAUUGGUGUUAUUUCUUGUUUUUGGUGCUAGGCUGCGUCUCAUUUCUUUGGCUGCGUCUCCUGUCUCUGCCUGUGUCUUAAAUCUUCAUACUUUUCCCAUAGUGUGCACUGGGACGCUUUCUCGCAUGGAUUUAAACUCUCUCUAGCCAAUGAUUACACCAUUCAUAUAACCAGGAACCAAUAUCCGAGAUGCCAUCUUUUAGAAGAAAAAGAGCCACGCUGGUUUACAGAGACCUGACUAGAGGCAUGAUAGAAGUACUGGAAGAACAGAGCCGGUUCCCUCUGCAGCAGAAGUUGUGCCCAGCUGCAGUGAUGCACCUCCUCUACCAACAUAAAAAAAAGGUAAG